AUGGAGGAGGAAAAUACAACAUUGCUGACAGAGUUUGUUCUCACAGGAUUUUUAUAUCAACCACAGUGGAAAAUACCCCUGUUCCUGGCAUUCUUGGUAAUAUAGCUCAUCACCAUCAUGGGGAAUCUUGGUCUAAUUGUUCUCAUCUGGAAAGACCCUCACCUUCAUAUCCCAAUGUAUUUAUUCCGUGGGAGUUUGGCCUUUGUGGAUGCUUGGUUAUCAUCCACAGUGACUCCAAAGAUGCUGAUCAACUUCUUAGCUAAGAGUAAGAUGAUAUCUCUCUCUGAAUGCAUGGUACAAUUUUUUUCCUUUGUAAUCAGUGUAACCACAGAAUGUUUUAUCUCGGCAUCAAUGGCAUAUGAUCGCUAUGUAGCCAUUUGCAAAGCUUUACUUUAUCCAGUCAUUAUGACCAACGGACUAUGCAUCCAGCUAUUAGUCUUGUCAUUUAUAGGUGGCCUUCUUCAUGCUUUAAUCCAUGAAAUUUUUUUAUUCAGAUUAACCUUCUGUAAUUCCAACAUAAUACAACACUUUUACUGUGACAUUAUCCCAUUGUUAAAGAUUUCCUGUACUGAUUCUUUUAUUAACUUUCUAAUGGUUUUUAUUUUCGCAGAUUCAAUUCAAGUUUUUACCAUUGGAACUAUUCUUAUAUCUUAUACACUUGUCCUCCUUAUAAUCUUAAAAAAUAAGUCUGUCAAAGGGAUACAAAAAGCUGUCUCCACCUGUGGAGCUCAUCUCUUAUCUGUAUCUUUAUACUAUGGGCCCCUUGUCUUCAUGUAUGUGGGCUCUGCAUCCCCGCAAGCAGAUGACCAAGAUAUGAUGGAGUCUCUAUUUUACACUGUCAUCGUUCCUUUAUUAAAUUCCAUGAUCUACAGCCUGAGAAACAAGCAAGUAAUAGCUUCAUUCACAAAAAUGUUCAAAAGAAAUGUUUAG
RNAcentral lists this long non-coding RNA (930 nucleotides) under Homo sapiens (human). RNAcentral describes it as "non-protein coding lnc-OR5H6-2:1". Lineage: Eukaryota; Metazoa; Chordata; Mammalia; Primates; Hominidae. The record is from RNAcentral.